Molecule: ribosomal RNA, 305 nt
Filed under: uncultured bacterium
Lineage: Bacteria
Description: bacterial SSU rRNA
Rfam family: Bacterial small subunit ribosomal RNA
Source: RNAcentral
UUAAUCCUACGGGGGGCAGCAGUGGGGAAUAUUGCACAAUGGGGGGAACCCUGACGCAGUGACGCCGCGUAUAGGAAGAAGGUUUUCGGAUUGUAAACUAUUGUCGUGAGGGAAGAAAUUGACAGUACCUCAGGAGGAAGCUCCGGCUAACUAUGUGCCAGCAGCCGCGGUAAUACAUAGGGAGCAAGCGUUAUCCGGAUUUAUUGGGUGUAAAGGGUGCGUAGACGGGAAAUUAAGUUAGUUGUGAAAUCCCUCGGCUUAACUGAGGAACUGCAACUAAAACUGAUUUUCUUGAGUACUGGAGG